GAUGAACGCUGGCGGCGUGCCUAAUACAUGCAAGUCGAGCGAACAGACGAGGAGCUUGCUCCUCUGACGUUAGCGGCGGACGGGUGAGUAACACGUGAAUAACCUACCUAUAAGACUGGGAUAACUUCGGGAAACCGGAGCUAAUACCGGAUAAUAUAUUGAACCGCAUGGUUCAAUAGUGAAAGACGGUUUUGCUGUCACUUAUAGAUGGAUCCGCGCCGCAUUAGCUAGUUGGUAAGGUAACGGCUUACCAAGGCGACGAUGCGUAGCCGACCUGAGAGGGUGAUCGGCCACACUGGAACUGAGGCACGGUCCAGACUCCUACGGGAGGCAGCAGUAGGGAAUCUUCCGCAAUGGGCGAAAGCUUGACGGAGCAACGCCGCGUGAGUGAUGAAGGUCUUCGGAUCGUAAAACUCUGUUAUUAGGGAAGAACAAAUGUGUAAGUAACUAUGCACGUCUUGACGGUACCUAAUCAGAAAGCCACGGCUAACUACGUG
RNAcentral lists this ribosomal RNA (497 nucleotides) under uncultured bacterium. RNAcentral's name for it is "partial 16S ribosomal RNA". It matches the Rfam family "Bacterial small subunit ribosomal RNA", at positions 28 to 507 of the family's 1533-position model. The record is from RNAcentral.